RNAcentral lists this ribosomal RNA (460 nucleotides) under uncultured bacterium. RNAcentral's name for it is "partial 16S ribosomal RNA". It matches the Rfam family "Bacterial small subunit ribosomal RNA", at positions 338 to 795 of the family's 1533-position model. The record is from RNAcentral.
CCUACGGGUAGCAGCAGUGAGGAAUAUUGGUCAAUGGACGCAAGUCUGAACCAGCCAUGCCGCGUGCAGGAAGACGGCUCUAUGAGUUGUAAACUGCUUUUGUACGAGGGUAAACGCAGAGACGUGUAUCUGUCUGAAAGUAUCGUACGAAUAAGGAUCGGCUAACUCCGUGCCAGCAGCCGCGGUCAUACGGAGGAUUCAAGCGUUAUCCGGAUUUAUUGGGUUUAAAGGGUGCGUAGGCGGUCGGAUAAGUUAGAGGUGAAAUCCCGGGGCUCAACUUCGGAAUUGCCUAUGAUACUGUUCGGCUUGAGAGUAGUUGCGGUAGGCGGAAUGUAUGGUGUAGCGGUGAAAUGCUUAGAGAUCAUACAGAACACCGAUUGCGAAGGCAGCUUACCAGGCUACUUCUGACGUUGAGGCACGAAAGCGUGGGGAGCAAACAGGAUUAGAUACCCCUGUAGUC